GAAGGCAGAUCGCUUCGAUCAGAAGGUUAGUAGCCUGGAAAGGAUUUUCCUCAUCGCGAACUUCAUCUUAGAGCUUCCGUCAGCUGCUUUUGAUCAGUUGUCCUCAGUGCAUAAGCCCCAACUUUCAGGAAAUGCUACCAAAGAAAGGCCAACCCCUCAUGUAAGGAGACUGAAUAGAGCAGAGGAAUUUACAUUGGCUCAAAUUGCUGCUGCAACCAAUUAUUUCUCACUACAGAACAAGAUUGGCGUGGGGAGUUCUUAUGAUGUUUACAGAGGG
RNAcentral lists this unclassified non-coding RNA (277 nucleotides) under Hevea brasiliensis (rubber tree). Lineage: Eukaryota; Viridiplantae; Streptophyta; Magnoliopsida; Malpighiales; Euphorbiaceae. The record is from RNAcentral.